AUUGAACGCUGGCGGCAUGCCUUACACAUGCAAGUCGAACGGCAGCACGGGUGCUUGCACCUGGUGUCGAGUGGCGAACGGGUGAGUAAUACAUCGGAACAUGUCCUGUAGUUGGGGAUAGCCCUGCGAAAGCCGGAUUAAUACCGCAUACGAUCUACGGAUGAAAGCGGGGGAGCUUGGGGCCUCGCGCUAUCGGGUUGGCCGAUGGCUGAUUAGCUAGUUGGUGGGGUAAAGGCCUACCAAGGCGACGAUCAGUAGCUGGUCUGAGAGGACGACCAGCCACACUGGGACUGAGACACGGCCCAGACUCCUACGGGAGGCAGCAGUGGGGAAUUUUGGACAAUGGGCGAAAGCCUGAUCCAGCAAUGCCGCGUGUGUGAAGAAGGCCUUCGGGUUGUAAAGCACUUUUGUCCGGAAAGAAAUCCUUGGCCCUAAUACGGUCGGGGGAUGACGGUACCGGAAGAAUAAGCACCGGCUAACUACGUG
This 486-nucleotide ribosomal RNA is filed under the name uncultured bacterium. RNAcentral's name for it is "partial 16S ribosomal RNA". It matches the Rfam family "Bacterial small subunit ribosomal RNA", at positions 30 to 507 of the family's 1533-position model. The record is from RNAcentral.